Molecule: ribosomal RNA, 355 nt
Filed under: Aulonogyrus naviculus
Lineage: Eukaryota; Metazoa; Arthropoda; Insecta; Coleoptera; Gyrinidae
Description: partial 12S ribosomal RNA
Source: RNAcentral
UUUAAAUGUAAAUUUUUGAACUAAAUUAGUAAUAGAUAUGAUCUUCAAAUUUAAAGAUUUUGGCGGUAUUUUAGUCUAUUCAGAGGAACCUGUUCUGUAAUUGAUAGUCCACGAUUAACUUUACUUAAUUUUAAAAAUUUGUAUAUCGUUGUUUAUAGAAAAUUUUAUAAGAAAAAUAAUUUUUAAUAAAUUUAAUUAAAUUAUAAAUCAAAUCAAGGUGCAGUUUAUAGUUAAGGUAGAAAUGGGUUACAAUAAAUUUAUUUAUCAAUGGAUAUAAAUUUUAAAAUUUUAUUAAAGGUGGAUUUGAUAGUAAUAUUGUUUAAUUAAACAAUAUGAUUAUAGCUCUAAAAUAUGU